UACGUAGGGGGCAAGCGUUGUCCGGAAUUAUUGGGCGUAAAGAGCGUGUAGGCGGCCCGAUAAGUCCGCCGUGAAAGUCCAGGGCUCAACCCUGGAAUGCCGAUGGAAACUGUCGGGCUGGAGUCCGGAAGAGGCGAGUGGAAUUCCUGGUGUAGCGGUGAAAUGCGCAGAUAUCAGGAGGAACACCUGAGGUGAAGACGGGUUGCUGGGCCAACACUGACGCUGAGGCGCGAAAGCCAGGAGAGCAAACGGG
Molecule: ribosomal RNA, 253 nt
Filed under: uncultured bacterium
Lineage: Bacteria
Description: partial 16S ribosomal RNA
Rfam family: Bacterial small subunit ribosomal RNA
Source: RNAcentral